CACCCGCCUCGACCUUCCAAAGUGCUGGGAUUACAGGUGUGAGCCACCGCUCCCAGCUAAAAAUUCUUAUAAAUUUUCAGGAAUACAUACAGCUGGUAAGUAUGGAAAAGGAGCCAGGUGUAGUGGUGCCACCUACAGUCCCAGCUAUGCAUGUAGUCCCAGCUACUUGGGAGGCUGAAGCAGGACGAUUGCUUAAGUCUAGGAGUUUGAGGUUGCAGUGCACUAUGAUCGGGUCUGUGAAUAGCUACAGCACUACAUUCUGAGCAACAUAGUGAAACUCUGUCUUAUAAAAUAUAUAUGUGUGUGUAUAUAAGGAAAACAAGAGAAUGAUGGAUAUCUUGAGAGAUGGAACACAUAGCUAGAUUUAUUGCCAAGUUAUUCCCAAGGUCCUAGCUUUCAUGCUGAUUAUUUCUUUUUUUUUUUUUUUUUUGAGACGGAGUCUUGCUCUGUCGCCUAGGCUGGAG
Molecule: long non-coding RNA, 464 nt
Filed under: Homo sapiens (human)
Lineage: Eukaryota; Metazoa; Chordata; Mammalia; Primates; Hominidae
Description: non-protein coding lnc-PPRC1-4:1
Source: RNAcentral